GACGAACGCUGGCGGUGUGCUUAACACAUGCAAGUCGAACGGUAAGGCCCUUUCGGGGGUACACGAGUGGCGAACGGGUGAGUAACACGUGAGUAACCUGCCCUCAUCUCUGGGAUAACAGUCGGAAACGGUUGCUAAUACUGGAUAUGAGCUUGCAAGGCAUCUUGUGGGUUGGAAAGAUUUUUUUGGUUGGGGAUGGACUCGCGGCCUAUCAGCUUGUUGGUGAGGUAGUGGCUCACCAAGGCUUCGACGGGUAGCCGGCCUGAGAGGGCGACCGGCCACAUUGGGACUGAGAUACGGCCCAAACUCCUACGGGAGGCAGCAGUGGGGAAUAUUGCACAAUGGACGGAAGGCUGAUGCAGCAACGCCGCGUGCGGGAUGACGGCCUUCGGGUUGUAAACCGCUUUCAAUUGUGACGAAGCUUUUUGUGACGGUAGCAGUAGAAGAAGCACCGGCUAACUACGUG
This 466-nucleotide ribosomal RNA is filed under the name uncultured bacterium. RNAcentral's name for it is "partial 16S ribosomal RNA". It matches the Rfam family "Bacterial small subunit ribosomal RNA", at positions 28 to 507 of the family's 1533-position model. The record is from RNAcentral.